RNAcentral lists this long non-coding RNA (777 nucleotides) under Homo sapiens (human). RNAcentral describes it as "long non-coding RNA NONHSAT208997.1". The record is from RNAcentral. Lineage: Eukaryota; Metazoa; Chordata; Mammalia; Primates; Hominidae.
UCUUCACACUGCAGUCGGAGCUAAUGGUGACCCCAGCCCGGGGAGGAGAUCCCCGUCCCACCUUCUCCUGUAGCUUCAGCCCAGGCCUUCCCCGACACCGGGCCUUGCGCACAGCCCCCAUCCAGCCCCGUGUCUGGGCCUGUGCCUCUGGAGGAGGUCCAAUUGGUGGUGGAGCCAGAAGGUGGAGCAGUAGCUCCUGGUGGAACCGUAACCCUGACCUGUGAAGUCCCUGCCCAGCCCUCUCCUCAAAUCCACUGGAUGAAGGAUGGUGUGCCCUUGCCCCUUCCCCCCAGCCCUGUGCUGAUCCUCCCUGAGAUAGGGCCUCAGGACCAGGGAACCUACAGCUGUGUGGCCACCCAUUCCAGCCACGGGCCCCAGGAAAGCCGUGCUGUCAGCAUCAGCAUCAUCGGCGAGGAGGGGCCAACUGCAGGUGAGGGGUUUGAUAAAGUCAGGGAAGCAGAAGAUAGCCCCCAACACAUGUGACUGGGGGGAUGGUCAACAAGAAAGGAAUGGCCCCAGAAAACCAGGAGGAAGAGGAGGAGCGUGCAGAACUGAAUCAGUCGGAGGAACCUGAGGCAGGCGAGAGUAGUACUGGAGGGCCUUGAGGGGCCCACAGACAGAUCCCAUCCAUCAGCUCCCUUUUCUUUUUCCCUUGAACUGUUCUGGCCUCAGACCAACUCUCUCCUGUAUAAUCUCUCUCCUGUAUAACCCCACCUUGCCAAGCUUUCUUCUACAACCAGAGCCCCCCACAAUGAUGAUUAAACACCUGACACAUCU